Monomorium pharaonis (pharaoh ant) is the source of this 1455-nucleotide long non-coding RNA. RefSeq lists it as uncharacterized. The record is from RefSeq and is a predicted model, not a curated record. Lineage: Eukaryota; Metazoa; Arthropoda; Insecta; Hymenoptera; Formicidae. The transcript has 3 exons.
UUUCUGAGACACAAUUUAUAUAUGUAUUACAGGUAUUAAAAAAAUAUAUAAUUAAUUUAGAAACGUUACACUCUCUUCUCUACAUGAGAAUGUAUUGUAUGAAAUCUGUUCAUAAAUUAUAAGUGUAACGGAAUCAUCUUUUUUCUCAUUGACAAUUUCAAAGUCUGAAAAUAGCACAAACGCGUGACAGAAUAUUCCCAAGAUCGCGAUGUUUUCACAUAGAAAGAUACUUUUUUGCUCUUUUCCUCAUGUUUAAUCACCAGUUAGCCGGGCGGCCCUUACACGACAAGUCAACAAAUAGAUGUCGCGUAUUUGUACAAGACCUUUACGUUUUUACAGGACCCUUCCAGCACAUAGUCUACAACUACGGAGAACAGUUAGGUUUUUAUUACGAAGAACAGUUUUUACCGGUUUGAAGUGCGACAUCUCUGCAAAAAAUUUAUCUUAGAAAUUGAAAGACUGCUGUGAUGACCAGAAAAGAGAAUACGCACGGUGACGAAGAAGAAGAAGAACCGGCGGGAUCAAGAUUUACGAGUGUACAGAGACAUUUAACACCUUCGUGGAAGAUAGUUAGACCAACGGUGCUGAUAAAUGGGCUUCUAACAGUAUGGCGGAUAGUAGCCGGAAAGGGAGAAACAACGCAAUGGCGGAUUUAAUCUUAUCCCAAAACAUUUGGAAUUUCUACUAAAAAUUGCCAUGUAAGUCGUAUAACAAUUUUAUCAUUUAAUAUAAAACGGCAAAUCUGAAAUAUUUCCAUGUAUUACAAUAAGUAAAUUGACACUCAAAAGAGAAUGGUAAGAAUUACAAGAAAUUUUCAGUAGAAUGACAAAGUGCUAAAAUUUUGCGUAGAAUUGAGCGCCAGAAAAAAGUAGAAUACAAGAUUUGAUUAACGUGCGAUUUUUACAUGGCUAAGUAUUUAAUAUUUCGCCAGUAACACGCCAAAAACAGGGGGAUGCAACAACUGGGCCACUGAUGUGUGCCUCGCGUGUCGAAAAGCGUUAUCGCAGGCGCCUCGUAUAAUAUCCAAUAUUCGUCGAGGCCGAGAAAGAGGGUGCCCAUCUUACACCUCUCCCGGCAUUGUUCGCGAAAAUAGAAUUACGGUGAUAUAGCCACUCUCGCGAGAUAUUAGACAGGUGAGCGCGUUCCCAGGGGAACAAAGGCCCCAUUACCCUGUCUUACCACCUCGACCCGGGCGGACGUCCCGAAAGACCCUCCGCUCUUGAAACAUUCAUAAGAGCGUUGUAAGUGGUUUUUAAUAAACGUAUUUAAUCAUGAGUGUCGGAUUACGAAUUAAAUCGGUGGGCGCUGUCACCAAUCGGAGGGAUUAGUCAUGAAUCUAAACAGAUGUACAACGCGCUUUUUGCAGGUAUGCGGGUAUAUUGUCUUUCAAUUUUGAUAUCGGCAUGACAUUGUUUUAUUUUAUACCUUAAUUUUUUAAUGAUAAUUAGCAGGAAA